AGCGAACGCUGGCGGCAGGCUUAACACAUGCAAGUCGAACGGGCAUCUUCGGAUGUCAGUGGCAGACGGGUGAGUAACACGUGGGAACGUACCCUUCGGUUCGGAAUAACUCAGGGAAACUUGAGCUAAUACCGGAUACGCCCUUUUGGGGAAAGGUUUACUGCCGAAGGAUCGGCCCGCGUCUGAUUGGCUUGUUGGUGGGGUAACGGCCUACCAAGGCGACGAUCAGUAGCUGGUCUGAGAGGAUGAUCAGCCACACUGGGACUGAGACACGGCCCAGACCCCUACGGGGGGCAGGAUGGGGGAUAAUGGGACAUUGGGGGGAAGCCUGACCCAGCCUGGCCGGGGGGGGGGGGAAGGCCUUGGGGUGGAAAAGCUUUUUUGUCCGGGACGAUAAUGACGGUACCGGAAAAAAAAGCCCCGGCUAACUUCGG
Molecule: ribosomal RNA, 434 nt
Filed under: uncultured bacterium
Lineage: Bacteria
Description: partial 16S ribosomal RNA
Rfam family: Bacterial small subunit ribosomal RNA
Source: RNAcentral